UCGUCAACGCGGCUUGUUCUAGUGGUCUAAAAAGCCGAAGUAACGUACGAGAACGGAGCAUGAUUAGAAAAGCGAUACAGGUACGAUUCAUAUUCGCUGGCCACAUUUGUCGCCCCGCAAUCCUUAUUGCAUCGGAUCGUGGAUUUCCCUCCGAUUCGUCGUCGUUGAUGAAGAAACCCAAGAAGUUGUUGGAGAGCCUUAUCAAGCCCUUCUUCGGCCGCAAAAAUGAGGGCAAAAAGGAGGACUUGGAGGCGAUCGCGGCCAAGGAGCAGAAAGUAUUCAGGUAUGAGACGCUGGUGGCGGCCACUCGCAACUUCAACCCUAAGCAGAAGCUCGGGGAAGGGGGAUUCGGUCCGGUCUUCAAGGGGCUGCUGGAGGAUGGGCGGGAGGUGGCGGUGAAGCGGCUGGGGCGGUCGUCGCGGCAGGGGUCGAGGGAGUUCCAGAACGAAGCGAUGCUGUUGUCCACGGUGCAGCAUAGGAACGUGGUGACCCUCCACGGCUACUGCGCCCACGCCGACGAGCAGCUCCUCGUCUACGAGUACGUCCCCAACGAGAGUCUCGAUAAGCUCCUCUUCUCCAAGGAGGGUAAUUCGAAGAAGGUGGAGCUGGAAUGGAAGCUAAGGUAUCAGGUGAUGGUUGGGGUGGCUCGGGGGCUGCUGUACCUACACGAGGAUGCGCACACCACCAUCAUACACCGUGACAUCAAGGCCAGCAACAUCCUGCUGGAUGACCGAUGGGUCCCUAAGAUUGCGGACUUUGGGAUGGCACGCUUGUUCCCCGAGGUUCAGACCCAUGUCAACACUCGUAUUGCCGGCACCAACAGCUACAUGGCGCCGGAGUACGCCAUGCACGGCUUCCUCUCCACCAAGGCCGAUGUCUUCAGCUUCGGCGUCUUGGUCCUCGAGCUCGUAUCAGGCAGAAAGAAUUCUGCAUUCAGUCCCCUCCCCGACCCUGAUGCUGACAGCCUUCUUGAAUGGGCUUGGAACCUUCACAAGAAGGGCCAGACUCUGGAGCUGAUGGAUCCCGCACUGUUGCCCACGGCAGACGUAGAGCAAGUCGCAAUGUGCAUUCAGGUCGGUCUCCUCUGCACUCAGCGUGACCCCAAGCUGCGGCCGGACAUGAAGCGCGUAGUGAUGAUUUUGUCCAGAAAGCCAAGCAUUCUACAGGAGCCAACCCAGCCUGGGAUUCCCAGAACCAGAUUUCUGAGCUCUCACGGAACACGCGGUUCCCGCACGGGUUCCGGCAGUUCGGGUGGUGCAUCUUCCUCUACUGUAAACUCUGCCUCCACCUCAGCGGCUACCACCUCAACAGCAAGAUAUCAUUCAUCAUAUCAGGAGCAUCGCCCUGUGUGAUUUUGUAUAGUGUGAGCAAGUUUUUGUUCCAUUUUAAUUAGAUGCAUUUUUCUGUGUAAAUUCUUUUGGGAUGCUUGGUUGUGAACUGAACGAGCCUGACUGAAGUAGGCAUAUUCUUUAAUUCAAGGAAAUGCGUGAUUUGAGGUGUUUA
This is an RNA transcript of Musa acuminata AAA Group (dessert banana), 1503 nucleotides long. It is a transcript of the gene named cysteine-rich receptor-like protein kinase 43, with no coding region annotated. The transcript has 5 exons. The record is from RefSeq and is a predicted model, not a curated record. NCBI's taxonomy places the organism in Eukaryota, Viridiplantae, Streptophyta, Magnoliopsida, Zingiberales, Musaceae.